Molecule: long non-coding RNA, 2552 nt
Filed under: Eucalyptus grandis
Lineage: Eukaryota; Viridiplantae; Streptophyta; Magnoliopsida; Myrtales; Myrtaceae
Description: long non-coding RNA (EGRA_LNC007227)
Source: RNAcentral
CCGAGCGCGCGCACAUCCCACUACGGUCGAUCUUGAAUGCGACAUCCCAGGAUAUGUCGCCGACCCAUUCAUUUCUUUACGCAUGCGGAAGCGAAACAAAUCCCCCCUUAUAACAUUUAACUUGGGAUAGAAAAGCAGGAAACAAAAUCACAACAUAACACUUUCGUAAAUCAACGAAAUUACAAACAAAGGUCUACGGCCAAAAGUCUACAAAAGACUGGCUCUUAAAAAGAGAUUAUCCUACGACCUACAAGACGUACACGAUCUCCAAUCCUUAUGACUUCACUUCUCCAACUCUUCAAGGCCAACCAAAGCUAUCUGGCCGCUCCGUCCAUCAGGGACCUGAAAUGGUUAUUCAAUAACCACUGAGACCACGUCUCAGCAAGUUCAACCCCCUAAACCCCUAUUAGAAAGAAAAUACGCCCCGGGUGGCCUAGCCACAUCACACAGAAGACUUACCUCGCCUCAGCCUUCAUCUGCAGGUUAGCACAAUUUAUAUAAACCAACCACGUGCAAUUAUGAUAACCAAACAACCGUGGCUCAAUCACAUUAUCAAAACAAUUCAACCACUUGGAUCGUCUCAGCGAUCAAUCGACUCGGCCGAUUUCAUGUCAUUCUAGCAAAUCAAUCAUUGCUCUCAACUACGGCCCUACUCGGCGCGACCUUUAACAGGUGGCAAUUCACGGCCCCAUUGGGCGCGACCUCUAAUAGGUGGCAUAAAACGGCCCCACUGGGCGCGACCUUUAUCAGUGGCAUAUCACGGCCCCAUCGGGCGCGACCUCUAAUAGGUGGCAUAAAACGGCCCCACUGGCGCGACCUUUAUCAGUGGCCGAUUUCAUGUCAUUCUAGCGACCUCUAUAGUGGCAUAAAACGGCCCUACUCGGCGCGACCUUUAACAGGUGGCAAUUCACGGCCCCAUUGGGCGCGACCUCUAAUAGGUGGCAUAAAACGGCCCCACUGGGCGCGACCUUUAUCAGGUGGCAUAUCACGGCCCCAUCGGGCGCGACCUCUAAUAGGUGGCAUAAAACGGCCCCACUGGGCGCGACCUUUAUCAGGUGGCAUAUCACGGCCCCAUCGGGCGCGACCUCUAAUAGGUGGCAUAAAACGGCCCCACUGGGCGCGACCUUUAUCAGGUGGCAUAUCACGGCCCCAUCGGGCGCGACCUCUAAUAGGUGGCAUAAAACGGCCCCACUGGGCGCGACCUCUAAUAGGUGGCAUAUUCACUACCUCAUCUCUCCUCAAUUCCCACACUUAGAAAUUUACAAAGAAUCCAUAUAUAUCGCAAUCACACUCAAUUCGCCACAACCAAUCAUCAAUAUCAAAUUCUAAAUGCACAGCAGCGAUCGGCACGAAAUUCUGAGUAAAUAAGGUUCCCAAAUAAUUUUCAGAAUUUAUUAAAUAAUUAAAUUUAUUCCGAAAAUUAAUAUAAUAAUAAUAUCCAUAUUUUUCACGAUCCACACUCAAUUUAAAAUAUCCAAUCAUCAAUUUCAAAAUCCGAAUGUACCGUAGCGACCGGUACGAAAUUCUGAGAAUUUAGGGUCCCGACCAAAAUUUGCGGAAUUUAAUAAAUAAUUAUAUUUAUUCCGAAAAUAAUUAAAUAAUAAUAUUUUAAUAAUUUCGAAUAUUAAAAUAUUAUUUAAUUAUUCAAUAAUUUCGAGAUAUUUAAAUAAAUCAAAAGUAAAUUCCUUUUUGUCACAUCAAGGUUUAUAUUAAUAUAAACACCCACUUAACUUUAAAUUAAACACAAUUUAAGCUAAUUAAACACAUUGAUAUAAUCUACACUUAAAUAAAUUAAACUAACCACCUAAUAACACUUAACAUAAACUAAACACACCUAAAGCAUCAUUAACCCUCUAAGCGAGGUUUAGUGAGUUAAACUCACCGGAUUAGCGAGCCGAGCGGACCAAAACGACGAGGCCGACGCGAGGAUCGACUUUCCUCAAAGCGGGCCGAGCAUCCGAGCUCGGAAAGGCGGCCAAAACGGGCCACGAAGGGCUGCCAUACCCAUUUUUCUGGGUUGCUGAUCGGGGCCGAGAUGGGAGCAGAUCCGGUGCCGGUUUGGGCGGCCAAGGGCGGCGGAGGCAAGGUGAAGCUCCGGCGGGCUAAGGCGGGGCCGCACGGUGGCUCACGGCGGCGGGGACGAGCUCCGGCAGCUCCCGGAACCCACGAACCGAGACUGAGACGCAGCUGGGCGUCGGCCAAGCGCGGGCGAGCGCGGGCAACGGCGGAGCGCGAGACGGUGAGCGGCGACGGGCGGAGGCGUGCGGCCGCUCCGAUGGUGCUGCUUCGGCGUCCAUCCCAGAUCUGGGAUUUCGAGCAGCAAACGAAGAUGGAGAGAGAGAGCGACGGUGGCGCGACUAAGCGACGGCGAGCGGGUGGAGGGGCGGAGCAGCUCGCGUGCGGACGGGCGGCGACGACGAACGGCGAAGGGGGGCGGCUUCUCUAGCUUGCUGGUUGCUGGGUUUUCAAAGAAGAAGGAGAUGAAGAAGAUGGAGAUGGAGGAGUCGCACGGGAGAGAGAGGAAGAAGAGAGGGAGGAGAGAGAAGAAGGGG